AUUGAACGCUGGCGGCAUGCUUUACACAUGCAAGUCGAACGGCAGCGGGGAGGAGCUUGCUUCUCUGCCGGCGAGUGGCGAACGGGUGAGUAAUACAUCGGAACGUGUCGAGAAGAGGGGGAUAACCACCCGAAAGGGUGGCUAAUACCGCAUAAAUUCUGAGGAAGAAAGCUGGGGACCUAGGAAUAGGCCUAGCGCUUUUUGAGCGGCCGAUGUCGGAUUAGCUAGUUGGUGAGGUAAAGGCUCACCAAGGCGAAGAUCUGUAGCGGGUCUGAGAGGAUGAUCCGCCACACUGGGACUGAGACACGGCCCAGAUUCCUACGGGAGGCAGCAGUGGGGAAUUUUGGACAAUGGGGGCAACCCUGAUCCAGCCAUGCCGCGUGUAUGAAGAAGGCCUUAGGGCUGUAAAGUACUUUUGUUAGGGAAGAAAAGUCAGCUGUGAAUAAUGGCUGAUACUGACGGUACCUAAAGAAUAAGCACCGGCUAACUACGUG
Molecule: ribosomal RNA, 494 nt
Filed under: uncultured bacterium
Lineage: Bacteria
Description: partial 16S ribosomal RNA
Rfam family: Bacterial small subunit ribosomal RNA
Source: RNAcentral